AGAGUUUGAUCCUGGCUCAGGAUGAACGCUGGCGGCGUGCUUAACACAUGCAAGUCGAACGCACCUUCGGGUGAGUGGCGGACGGGUGAGUAACGCGUGGGAAUCUGCCCUCAGGAGGGGGAUAACGGCUGGAAACGGCCGCUAAUACCCCAUAUGCCGAGAGGUGAAACGAAUUUCGCCUGAGGAUGAGCCCGCGUCUGAUUAGCUAGUUGGUGGGGUAAUGGCCCACCAAGGCGACGAUCAGUAGCUGGUCUGAGAGGAUGAUCAGCCACACUGGGACUGAGACACGGCCCAGACUCCUACGGGAGGCAGCAGUGGGGAAUUUUCCGCAAUGGGCGAAAGCCUGACGGAGCAACGCCGCGUGAGGGAUGAAGGCCUCUGGGCUGUAAACCUCUUUUCUCAAGGAAGAAGACAUGACGGUACUUGAGGAAUAAGCCACGGCUAAUUCCGUGCCAGCAGCCGCGGUAAUACGGGAGUGGCAAGCGUUAUCCGGAAUUAUUGGGCGUAAAGCGUCCGCAGGCGGCCCUGUAAGUCUGUCGUUAAAGCGUGGAGCUUAACUCCAUUUAAGCGAUGGAAACUACAGGGCUUGAGUGUGGUAGGGGCAGAGGGAAUUCCCGGUGUAGCGGUGAAAUGCGUAGAUAUCGGGAAGAACACCAGUGGCGAAGGCGCUCUGCUGGGCCAUAACUGACGCUCAUGGACGAAAGCCAGGGGAGCGAAAGGGAUUAGAUACCCCUGUAGUCCUGGCCGUAAACGAUGAACACUAGGUGUCGGGGGAAUCGACCCCCUCGGUGUCGUAGCCAACGCGUUAAGUGUUCCGCCUGGGGAGUACGCACGCAAGUGUGAAACUCAAAGGAAUUGACGGGGGCCCGCACAAGCGGUGGAGUAUGUGGUUUAAUUCGAUGCAACGCGAAGAACCUUACCAGGGUUUGACAUCCUGCGAAUCCCUUGGAAACUAGGGAGUGCCUUCGGGAGCGCAGAGACAGGUGGUGCAUGGCUGUCGUCAGCUCGUGUCGUGAGAUGUUGGGUUAAGUCCCGCAACGAGCGCAACCCACGUCUUUAGUUGCCAGCAUUCAGUUGGGCACUCUAGAGAGACCGCCGGUGAUAAACCGGAGGAAGGUGUGGAUGACGUCAAGUCAUCAUGCCCCUUACAUCCUGGGCUACACACGUACUACAAUGCUACGGACAAAGGGCAGCAAGCUCGCGAGAGUUAGCAAAUCCCAUAAACCGUGGCUCAGUUCAGAUCGUAGGCUGCAACUCGCCUACGUGAAGGAGGAAUCGCUAGUAAUCGCAGGUCAGCAUACUGCGGUGAAUACGUUCCCGGGCCUUGUCC
This 1330-nucleotide ribosomal RNA is filed under the name metagenome. RNAcentral's name for it is "bacterial SSU rRNA". It matches the Rfam family "Bacterial small subunit ribosomal RNA", at positions 8 to 1386 of the family's 1533-position model. The record is from RNAcentral.